UGGGGAAUUUUGCGCAAUGGGGGAAACCCUGACGCAGCAACGCCGCGUGAGUGAUGAAGGCCUUCGGGUCGUAAAGCUCUGUCAGAGGGGAAGAAAUGGAAACGGUUAAUACCCGUUUUUCUUGACGGUACCCUCAAAGGAAGCACCGGCUAACUCCGUGCCAGCAGCCGCGGUAAUACGGAGGGUGCAAGCGUUGUUCGGAUUUAUUGGGCGUAAAGCGCGUGUAGGCGGUCUUUUAAGUCUGAUGUGAAAGCCCUGGGCUCAACCCAGGAAGUGCAUUGGAUACUGGAAGACUUGAAUACGGGAGAGGGUAGUGGAAUUCCUAGUGUAGGAGUGAAAUCCGUAGAUAUUAGGAGGAACACCGGUGGCGAAGGCGGCUACCUGGACCGAUAUUGACGCUGAGACGCGAAAGCGUGGGGAGCAAACA
This 427-nucleotide ribosomal RNA is filed under the name uncultured Geobacter sp. RNAcentral describes it as "bacterial SSU rRNA". It matches the Rfam family "Bacterial small subunit ribosomal RNA", at positions 355 to 774 of the family's 1533-position model. The record is from RNAcentral. Lineage: Bacteria; Pseudomonadati; Thermodesulfobacteriota; Desulfuromonadia; Geobacterales; Geobacteraceae.